CGGGUGAGUAACACGUGGAUAACCUACCUAUAAGACUGGGAUAACUUCGGGAAACCGGAGCUAAUACCGGAUAAUAUAUUGAGCCGCAUGGUUCAAUAGUGAAAGACGGUUUUGCUGUCACUUAUAGAUGGAUCCGCGCCGCAUUAGCUAGUUGGUAAGGUAACGGCUUACCAAGGCAACGAUGCGUAGCCGACCUGAGAGGGUGAUCGGCCACACUGGAACUGAGACACGGUCCAGACUCCUACGGGAGGCAGCAGCA
This 259-nucleotide ribosomal RNA is filed under the name uncultured Staphylococcus sp. Its description in RNAcentral is "partial 16S ribosomal RNA". It matches the Rfam family "Bacterial small subunit ribosomal RNA", at positions 103 to 355 of the family's 1533-position model. The record is from RNAcentral. Lineage: Bacteria; Bacillati; Bacillota; Bacilli; Caryophanales; Staphylococcaceae.